GUGCUCGCUUUGGCACCACAUAUACUAACAUUGGAAUGAUACAGAGAUUAGCAUGGCCUCUGUGCAAGAAUGACAUGCAAAUUCAUGAAGCAUUCCAUAUUUUU
Arvicanthis niloticus (Nile rat) is the source of this 104-nucleotide small nuclear RNA. The record is from RefSeq and is a predicted model, not a curated record. NCBI's taxonomy places the organism in Eukaryota, Metazoa, Chordata, Mammalia, Rodentia, Muridae.